UGGGGAAUCAUGGUCAAUGGGCGAAAGCCUGAACCUGCGACGCCGCGUGAGUGAUGAAGGUCGUAAGAUCGUAAAACUCUUUUCAGGGAUCUUAAAGCCUGUCUGUCAACAACAGGCAGAUCUGACUCUCCCUGGAAGAAGCCCCAGCCAACUACGUGCCAGCAGCUGCGGUAAUACGUAGGGGGCGAGCGUUAUUCGGAAUUACUGGGUGUAAAGGGUAUGUAGGCGGUAAUAAAAGUUUUGUGUUUAAAUUCAGGGCUCAACCCUGAACUGGCAUGAAGGACUGUAUUGCUAGAGUGAUGAAGAGGAAACUGGAACUCCAGGUGAAGCGGUGAAAUGUGUAGAUAUCUGGGGGAACACCAAUGGCGAAGGCAGGUUUCUGGUUGUCAACUGACGCUGAGACACGAAAGCGUGGGGAUCAAACG
This 425-nucleotide ribosomal RNA is filed under the name uncultured prokaryote. RNAcentral describes it as "bacterial SSU rRNA". It matches the Rfam family "Bacterial small subunit ribosomal RNA", at positions 355 to 774 of the family's 1533-position model. The record is from RNAcentral.